GACGAACGCUGGCGGCGUGCUUAACACAUGCAAGUCGAACGGAAAGGCCCUGCUUUUGUGGGGUGCUCGAGUGGCGAACGGGUGAGUAACACGUGAGUAACCUGCCCUUGACUUUGGGAUAACUUCAGGAAACUGGGGCUAAUACCGGAUAGGAGCUCCUGCUGCAUGGUGGGGGUUGGAAAGUUUCGGCGGUUGGGGAUGGACUCGCGGCUUAUCAGCUUGUUGGUGGGGUAGUGGCUUACCAAGGCUUUGACGGGUAGCCGGCCUGAGAGGGUGACCGGCCACAUUGGGACUGAGAUACGGCCCAGACUCCUACGGGAGGCAGAAGUGGGGAAUAUUGCACAAGGGGCGGAAGCAUGAUGCAGCAACGCCGCGUGCGGGAUGACGGCCUUCGGGUUGUAAACCGCUUUCGCCUGUGACGAAGCGUGAGUGACGGUAAUGGGUAAAGAAGCACCGGCUAACUACGUG
This 468-nucleotide ribosomal RNA is filed under the name uncultured bacterium. RNAcentral describes it as "partial 16S ribosomal RNA". It matches the Rfam family "Bacterial small subunit ribosomal RNA", at positions 28 to 507 of the family's 1533-position model. The record is from RNAcentral.